CAGGACUCGCAAGACUCCUACAACCCUGUGAACUUAACUAUAAGCACGUUGCUUCGGCGGGUGUCUCGGCGAGAGUUCUCCCUCCCCGGGGCGCUAAGCCCGCCGGCAGCCUACUAUACUCUGUCUCUUUGCGUUGGCAUCUCGAGUACAAUCAAACAAGUUA
Molecule: unclassified non-coding RNA, 163 nt
Filed under: soil metagenome
Description: partial internal transcribed spacer 1
Source: RNAcentral